AUCGCCUGGGGAUCUUGUUAAAAUGCAAAUUUUGAUUCAGUAGAUCUGGGGUGGGGGCCAAGAGUUAGCAUUCUCAACAAGCUCCCAGGUGAUGCCAA
RNAcentral lists this microRNA precursor (98 nucleotides) under Loxodonta africana (African savanna elephant). Its description in RNAcentral is "mir-544 microRNA precursor family". It matches the Rfam family "mir-544 microRNA precursor family". Lineage: Eukaryota; Metazoa; Chordata; Mammalia; Proboscidea; Elephantidae. The record is from Rfam by way of RNAcentral.